AUGUGGUUUAAUUCGAAGCAACGCGAAGAACCUUACCAGGUCUUGACAUCCUCUGACAACCCUAGAGAUAGGGCUUUCCCUUCGGGGACAGAGUGACAGGUGGUGCAUGGUUGUCGUCAGCUCGUGUCGUGAGAUGUUGGGUUAAGUCCCGCAACGAGCGCAACCCUUGAUCUUAGUUGCCAGCAUUCAGUUGGGCACUCUAAGGUGACUGCCGGUGACAAACCGGAGGAAGGUGGGGAUGACGUCAAAUCAUCAUGCCCCUUAUGACCUGGGCUACACACGUGCUACAAUGGACAGAACAAAGGGCUGCAAGACCGCAAGGUUUAGCCAAUCCCAUAAAUCUGUUCUCAGUUCGGAUCGCAGUCUGCAACUCGACUGCGUGAAGCUGGAAUCGCUAGUAAUCGCGGAUCAGCAUGCCGCGGUGAAUACGUUCCCGGGCCUUGUACACACCGCCCGUCACACCACGAGAGUUUGCAACACCCGAAGUCGGUGAGUAACCUUUAUGGAGCCAGCCGCCGAAGGUGGGGCA
RNAcentral lists this ribosomal RNA (529 nucleotides) under Bacillus safensis. RNAcentral describes it as "bacterial SSU rRNA". It matches the Rfam family "Bacterial small subunit ribosomal RNA", at positions 939 to 1469 of the family's 1533-position model. Lineage: Bacteria; Bacillati; Bacillota; Bacilli; Caryophanales; Bacillaceae. The record is from RNAcentral.